Molecule: ribosomal RNA, 301 nt
Filed under: uncultured bacterium
Lineage: Bacteria
Description: partial 16S ribosomal RNA
Rfam family: Bacterial small subunit ribosomal RNA
Source: RNAcentral
CAGUAGCCGCGGUAAUACCGAGGGUGCAAACGUUGUUCGGAAUUACUGGGCGUAAAGCGCGUGUAGGCUGCUCUGCAAGUCAGGUGUGAAAGCCCUGGGCUCAACCUAGGAAGUGCACUUGAAACUGCAAGAGCUGGAGUGUUGGAGAGGGAAGCGGAAUUCUCGGUGUAGAGGUGAAAUUCGUAGAUAUCGAGAGGAACACCGGUGGCGAAGGCGGCUUCCUGGACAACUACUGACGCUGAGACGCGAAAGCGUGGGGAGCAAACAGGAUUAGAGACCCCAGUAGUCCCUGUCUCUUAUU